Molecule: long non-coding RNA, 1841 nt
Organism: Ornithodoros turicata
Lineage: Eukaryota; Metazoa; Arthropoda; Arachnida; Ixodida; Argasidae
Exons: 2
Source: RefSeq, a predicted model, not a curated record
GCGAAGAAUGUUCCUUCUUGUCUAUCUCUCAGGGUCUUCCACUCAGCCUGCGAGGAGAGCCCCCGUAAGGCUCUUCAAACCAUCACGACAGUUUAGUUUGCAAUGACACGGUUACCAGAAGAGGCCUUGCCUUCAUCCACUCGGUUCUCAUGUGUGUGAUGCGGCGGUCUGUGAGCUAACAUACGCGACAGUGGGCCAGUCCACAGUUCCUACACUGAACGCGGAUGCUAGAGCCCUCAGGGUUAUUUGGACAGAAGCUAGCAUGAGACGGAGUCAAAUAACGUGUAAGCACAACCUUUCUUGUGGUCGUAGGUCGAGAUCCUGGGCUGUGACUUAUCCUGGAAGCACCUCGUACGCAGACCCAGCGGCAGGAGUAGCUCAGCGCACACUUCGCAGUGGCAGCGUCCCAGCAACAAUCCGAGGCAGCGGCAGGAAUCUGGUGGGCAGACCGACAGCCGGAACCAAGCACCAGGAACCAGAUAUGAGUUCCAGCAGGCACAAAGAACUAGGCGGUAGAACCCGCAGCUCGCAGUGGUCUGUCUCGAAGAACCAAAUGCUAUCUGUACGAGCACCUUACGUCACACACUGCACCAUGGCAAUAUGUUGGCUGGCAAAGUCCUCUUGAGCGCGCGUGUGCGAAUCGCUGAGCUACGCAGCACUCUUCAUGGUUUCCCGGCAGGCGAUGCCUUUCUUACGGUGAAUGGCUCUCAGGAUCUUCCACUUGGAGACCCAUGUCUGCUUUCAGCUGGUUGGCGGAUAUAGAGCUGUUGUACACCCGUCGUAGUGACACAAGCCUGAUUACAGCUUCCUAGUCCUUCCGGAACUGAACUGUCAAUUUUUACAACCAUGGCAGUUGACUGAACGACGCAGUUACGCAGCGAUGCGCCCAAGAGUGAGCCCGGCUGCAUGAAGGGCACGGGAUUCGCCUCGCUCGUUCUCCGUCAGACGGCGACCGCGAGGCAGCUUUGCGUACGAGCGCUAACGGCCGACAUGUAAGACCACGUGCCUCUAGUUGUACUUCCCAUUUAAAUUGUAACAUUUCUCUAGGUGGCACAAUCCACAUAGGUGUCCCUAUAAUUUUCCGCCAGUUCAAAUUUUGAAAGUUUGUUGAGAAGUUGUACCAGGCAGACUUGAGGAAGUUGCAUUGGGAACGAAGAGACAAGGCAAAACGGGACGUGCUCAUCAAACACGCGAAUUCCCUGUCUUCACGUGUCUCAGCAAACUUUUCACCACCUUGGUGAUAUGCCCCACUUUGUUCCAGAGUUCCAAACAGUUUGAUUACCGACAGAUCCCGACCUAUUGGUGACAUCGACGGUGAUCCACGUGGCUCGAUGAAGCGUGGUAAUAAACGUGUUUUAGUGGUCGUGUUACAGAUUGCCACGCAUGGCUGCAACGUGAAGAGAACGGGAUGAAGGAAGACUCGAUCCACUUUACAUAUUUCGUUUCCUAGUGAACAAAAAAAAAAAAAGAAAGAAAGAAACACCAACGGUCAUUGAGGUACACAGUAGGACUCUACAGCGUGUCUGGAGCAAUCCGGUAGACAAGAGGAACUCCAAGAAGAUCAGAAGACAUCGACGGUGUUGCACGUGGCUCUGACAUGGGCCAAGAAUUGCUGCCAGGUUGAACGUCUGUCGGCUAGCAGUACUCGACUGAGCACAGAGUUGCCGCCUCUCUGUUUCACCUUCCUUUUUUGUAGCGCAGCGCAGCCAGUGGAGGAGAGCUCAAAUGUUGUACUUGCACAUAACUUUAACUUGAUUCUCAUAUCUCACAUCUAAUGUUUCCCGUGCAAUGGGGUAGUGUACUGCCCUCCAGUGGUGAAUCACACCAGAUCAUACUCACGA